RNAcentral lists this long non-coding RNA (5459 nucleotides) under Marmota monax (woodchuck). The record is from RNAcentral. Lineage: Eukaryota; Metazoa; Chordata; Mammalia; Rodentia; Sciuridae.
GGAUUCUUCAAAAAAUCAAACACAGAAUCUCCAACAAUUUCACUUUGGGGUAUAUGUCCAAAAGAAUUAAAAUCAGAGACUCAAAACAGAUGUUUGUUUUCAUUCAUUUCUUCCUUCAUUCAUAAAUAACAUUGUUCCCCUACUAUAUGCCAUAUCCUGUCCCCUGUGCCCAGGGUGAGAGCAAACAAAAUGGACUAAAUCUCUACCCUGGUUGUACUCACAUUCUAGUUCGGGGAGAAAGUAAAAUAAGAUACUAUGAAAAAUAUAGUAUUUUAUGUUGUAUGUAUGUGACACACACCAUACACAUAUAUUAUACACGUGUAUAUAUAUAAUCAUAAAUACAAUGUGCAUGUUAACCCCUAUUUGCAAUGCCCUCCACAGGUACACAGGCAGAUGCUCAGCAGGAGUAUAACAGAAACUUGGAACAGAAACGUGGAAACAUGAGCCUCAUUCUGAGCCAACCAAAUUCACCCCUGUGUCCCAGGUGACACGAUCGAAUUUGUGCCAAAUGCUGAAGAGAAAAGGCAAAGGGGCUAAUGCGGGGAAGGCAUGAAUUUGGCUGUGACUUGGGGUGGGUGGGGGGACUGGGGAUUAAACCCAGGCAGAGGGAAGCGCUCUACCAACGACUACCGUACACCCCUCCGCCCUUAUUUUUUAAGACAGGGUCUAGCGAAAUUGCUAACCGGCUUGCCGCAGCCUGGCUGGGCACAAUUCACAAGCCACUUGUCAAGCAGAAAUGAACUUUAUUUUUAGAACACACAUGCAGCACCACAGGAGCUCUUCAGGAAUUCCCUCAGAGCCCAACUGCCACCACCGGCUUCCACCAAGCCUCUCAAUCCCCACUCCUCCUGCUCUUGAGGCCGAUUGGCUGGGUCGCAUGGGUGGAGCCAAAAGAGUCCCCCAAUGAGCAGCUCCGUGGUCUGAAAGGGUAGGGAAACAGCCCAAUGAGCAUCACCACAGAGGAGCCAAUCAGCUGGAAGUUUGCUGGGGCCUUGGUGAGCCAAUCAGCUGGAAGUUUGCUGGGGCCGCUUCGGCUGUGGCUCUCAACAUCUCCCCCUCUCUGUUUAAUUAAACAACAAGCAUGUGGCUUAGGGACCGUGCCUGCCUUAGGUUGUCCAAUACUACAUAUGGUUCUUACCCGUCAUUGGAUGAGCUGACCUCAAGGCAUCAGCCUCCUAUCUUAGGUUGGUACCAUUGUAAUUGGAUCUUACCCGUCAUUGACUACUGGUCCAGCAUACAGCCACACCUGUGGAUAGGCCUUUGUACUAGUGGGGGAGUGAGGUUCUUUGCCUCACCUCUGUUGGCCCCCAAAUUUUAGCUGAACGACCAUCACAAGCAGAAGGGAGGAGGAUACACUAAGCCAAUUGACGGCUCCUUUUGGAAAAAUUGUGCCACCGAUGAUACCAUCAGCAAAAAUACCCCAGCACUACCACAAGUCACUGCACCAACAGAUAGUUCACAAUGCAUACAAGUGAUACAUAGUCCAGGCAAGUUCUGCAAGCAGUUCAGUGAUAGCUAUUGCAGAAGCUGUAGUUUGGUUUUAUCUUUGUCUUCACUGGCACUGGGAUGAAGAUAGGAAUUCUGGCAAUAAUGGCUAAAGAAAAAAUUAUGUAACAUUCCAGCAGGCACUAAAAGAAAACAAUUUUCUGAACAAUUUACAUUAUCCUGAACAGAAUUAUUAAAUAUAAUGAAAAGGAAAGGUGAAAGUAAACAAACAGAUUUGUUAAUCUCCUUUUUUGUUCACAUAUUAAAACAAUCCUCAACAGCUGUUUACCCAAUUUAAAUUAAACCAUUUAAAUCACGUGAAUAAGAAAAAAAAUUGGAUCCAUUUUUUCAUGAGCACUCAUCAUAUAUGAUAUAUGGACAUAUGCACAUACAAACAUACAACACAAAACACAAGUGUGCACACAUAAUAUAAUACAUACAACACAUAACAUAAAAAUAAAGGCCUUGUAACUUUUUACAGGUGAAAUCUCCAUUGCAAUGUUUAAAAACUCUAUAGUCAAAAAAUAGAACUGAUCAGCAAAACAUUAACCUAAGUCUGUAUGAGCUCAAAAAAUAAAAUAAAACUUCAUGAUGUGGGAAAGGGCAAUAAUAAAAUAUAUUGAAAAAAAAAAUCCUGGUUUCAUUAGCCUCCAGGUGUGGGAGAACCACUGUCGCAGAUGUAAGGAGAGCCAAACUGGAGUUCUGGAUAUCAGCUGUUAUGGAUUUGAGCCAAAUCAUCUUCUUUUUGGUCUGUAGAAAUCGCUUUAGUUAAUCUCUCUGGAAUCCAAAUCGGCUGCUGUUCUCNUCUGCCAAAUAUGGUUAGGUAUCAGUCCUCUAGGAUUGACUCCAAGAUUAACUUGUGGUAAAAAGGUCACACAGUAUUCUACUCCUUUGAUACCUAGUUUUGUUAAACCCUCCUUCUAUGGGGCAAUUCCUUUUAAAAUGUCCUGUUUGUUCACAAUUGUAGCAUGUUUUUGGCCUGGCAUCUAAAGCCUGUUGUACUGCAGCUGCCAAGACUUGCCCUUGUUCAUUAAUGUCUCUACAUAAUUUAAUAUAUGUGUUUAAAUCUUCAUGUUUCCAUGGUCUAAUGACCUCUCUGCACCAACGAUUUGCUUGCUCAUAAGCCAGUUGUUUUAUUAAUGGCAUUGCUUGUUCUGUAUUCCCCAAAACUCUGGUAGCUGUUUGAAUAAGCCUAUCUACAAAUUCAGCAUAAGGUUCAUUAACUCCUUGUAUUACCUUAGAUAAUUGACCUUGUAAACCUCCAUGUCCUUGUAAAGUCUUCCAUGCUCUAACCCCAUCUACAGCAAUUUGUGAGUUUAUGGCAGGAUCAUAUGCAAUUUGUUGCUGCUGACUCUCAUAAGGUCCCUUUCCUAACAACAUAUUUAGAUUUCUCUGAGGAUAACCGGCUGCUGCAUAUCGCCUAGCCGUCUCCGUGCAAAAUUCCUCAUUGGCAACCUUCCAUAACAGUUAUUGUCCUCCAUUUAGCACAGCUUUACACAUACUAGUCCAAUCUGCUGGUGUCAUGCUCGAAUUGGUAAUGGAUUCGACCAUGUUUACAGUGAAGGGUGCUUGAGGACCAUAGGUUGUUACAGUCUCUUUUAGCUGCUUCACUGUUUUGAAAUCUAAAACAUGGUGAAUUCGCUGCCCUUCUGCCUGUUCAAAUACAGGGCAUGCUGAUCUUUGAGGUCCUGUUUCAGGAUCCCAUCUAUCAACUAUGGGGGUUGAGGGCCUCCCAGCAUAUGGAGGUGGAGCUGUUGGUUGGACACUUACACCCUCUGGUGAUAGAAAGGUGUUAGAAGCAGCCUCCUGUUGUAACUUCUCCCCUGAUGGCUUUUCCUCCUUUAAAUUUUCUUCCUCUGUCGAGAGAACUUCUCUUUUACUUGAUCUAACAUGUCUUCUACCAGAGUCUGAACUGAAGGCUUUGGACUAGGCAAACAAAAUCGUAUCACCAUCCACAAUGGCAAUGUGCCAACUGGCAGAGUUCCUGGGUUUUCUCUUCUCUCUCCCUUAAAUCUUCACCAUGAUGGUCCCAUUGUGAUAUAUUUAACAACUCCUCCUUAAAAAGCCAUGGGCUAUAUUUUUGUAUUGUAUCAACGUAUGCCCUGACUGCUCUUGAUUUUACUGGGAUGCCUCCUUCCUCUAACAAUUUACUUAACACUCUCUUGGUUUGUUUUUUACUAAUUUCUGAUCCCAUAUUUCUACUUAUAAUACAACCCAACAAGAUGACACCAAAGCCAAGACAGAAUGAAACAAAAAUGGAACAAAAAUUCAUUAUAUCAGCCUUUCUAUCCUCCUGAAAUGUCCAUUGGUCCUUUCUCCCUAUCUGUUCCUCAGACGCAAAUAGUUUUUCCUCAGAUGUGAGCGGUUUUUCUUCCGUUUCACUCAUCUCCAGGGACAGGCAACUUAAAACAAAAGCGAAACAAAAUGAAAGAAGAAUCUUAAAAUGGCUACCCAUCCUCUGGCCCUGCCCUCAGGGGCCAGCAGUUUACCUUAUCACUUACUCUCAGUCGUUCCCCAUAUGGGCCACCAAAUGCCGCAGCCUGGCUGGGCACAAUUCACCAGCCACUUAUCAAGAAGAAUUGAACUUUAUUUUCAAAACACACAUGCAGCACCACAGGAGCUCUUCAGGAAUUCCCUCAGAGUCCAACUGCCAGCACCGGAUUCCACCAAGCCUCUCAACCUCCACGCCUCCCGCUCUUGAGGCCGAUUGGCUGGGUCACAUGGGCGGAGCCAAAAGAGUCCCCCAAUGAGCAGCUCCGUGGUCUGAAAGGGCGGGAAACAGCCCAAUGAGUAUCACCAGAGGAGCCAAUCAGCUGGAAGUUUGCUGGGGCUGUGGUGAGCCAAUCAGCUGGAAGUUUGCUGAGGCCGCUUUGGCUGUGGCUCUCAACACUGGCUUCCAACUCCUGCCCGCAGCCUGCCGGGAAGCUGGACCCAGAUGCGUCUGCUACUUAAAAACCUCCAGUGAAGGACGGCCUCCCUGGGAAGGGGCCCCCGAGUAGAGAACCCAAGGAGGUGGGGGCUCUGCAGAUAAAAGACUGUGACAGACGCGGAGACCCUUGGUGGCCCAAGCGAGGGCUUGGGGCUCCAGAGCUGCAGGAGCCCAGUGAGCAGGGCGGGGCAGCCUCGGGAAGCGGACUCGUUUUUGCAGUCCCUUUGUUUGGGGUGUGUCCCGCAGCGGGCCGAGGCUGACUUGGGGCAGCACGAUGCCCGGAGCUCGGUGCUCCUAGGUGCCCGCCCGGGGUCCAGCCGGCCCAUCCCGGCUCCGCGGCUGUUUUAACGCUUGGCUUUCUUUUAGAAGCGCAGACCCCCCUCCUCUCCUUUCUCAGCCAGGCUGGCCACGGAAGGUGAAGGUCCAAGGUGACCUCUUGGAUCCUCUCCCAGCGACGGUCUCCAUCGGCCUCCGCGUCCUUCCCUAAGCCCCGCCCCCACGCCUGCGCCCUCGCGGUCUUCCCUUCCCGCACCUCGGAACUGUCCCGGGUGCAGGCCGGCGGGUCCGAAGCGCGCGGGCGGGAACCACCACCGACGCCGCACCCCGCUCUCGGCCUCGGAGGGCGAGCGCCGUGGAGUCCAGCUGGACUGGGGGCCGACGACCCCGCGACCCAGCGCAGCCGGGGACCUUGGGCGGGUCCUUUCUCUCGCCUCGCUCUCCUCGACUGUGAAAAGCGGGUAGUGACAUCAGCCCUCGGCUGGAGACGUAGUCUGGUAACCGAGAGCUUGUGGAGCCAGAGCCCUGGGUCUCAUCCCCAGCGUCUCAGAAAACAAAACCCCCUUAAAAUCACGCCUCAUUGGCUUUAAAAAAAAUAUUAAAAAUCGCACCUAUUUCUGGGGCACCAUAUGCUGUUUCUAGCUGUAUACACCGUGUGAUCCCGGGGUGGUUUGUGCCCCCCCUAGAAGUGAGGUCACUUCUAGGAAAGCUCAUUGUACAUUGUAAAGGGCUACACACGUGAGUGGUGUCCACCUGGCCGAUUUCCGAG